RNAcentral lists this ribosomal RNA (468 nucleotides) under uncultured bacterium. RNAcentral describes it as "partial 16S ribosomal RNA". It matches the Rfam family "Bacterial small subunit ribosomal RNA", at positions 28 to 507 of the family's 1533-position model. The record is from RNAcentral.
GACGAACGCUGGCGGCGUGCUUAAUACAUGCAAGUCGAACGGAAAGACCAGGCGUUUGUGGCGUGCACGAGUGGCGAACGGGUGAGUAAAACGCGUGUAACAUGUACCUGACUUUGGGGUAACUUCACGGAACAGGGGCUAAUACCGGAUAUGAGCUCUUGCUGCAUGGUGGUGGAUGGAAAGUGUCGGCGGUUGGGGAUGGAUUCGCGGCUUAUCAGCUUGUUGGUCGAGUAGUGGCUGACAAAGGCUGUGACGGGUAGCCGGCCUGAGAGGGUGGCCGGCGACAAUGGGACUAAGAGACGGACCAGACGCCUACGGGAGGCAGCAGGGGGGAAUUUUGCAGAGUGGGCGGAAGUCAGAGGCAGCAACGCCGCGUGCGGGAUGACGGCCUUCGAGUUGAAAACCGAUGUCGACUUAGACGAGGCGGGAGUGACGGUACUUAGUAAGGAAGCACCGGCUAACUACGUG